This 1998-nucleotide long non-coding RNA is filed under the name Schizosaccharomyces pombe (fission yeast). The record is from RNAcentral. Lineage: Eukaryota; Fungi; Ascomycota; Schizosaccharomycetes; Schizosaccharomycetales; Schizosaccharomycetaceae.
CUUUUUAGAGUUAGAAGCAGUGAGCCAUGUAUUUUCAACAGCACGGCGAGUAACAGUACCCAUUGGAAUAAUACAAGGUAAUAUAAUACCAAAACCAUCGACAGAGGACGGAACUCCAAGUUCAGCAUCUUUGUCCCAAACUACCAUUUGCGAUCGAAUUCGAUCACGAGCACUACUCCAGUAAGAACAUGAUGCACUCAUUUCUAGAGCCUUUUUAGCCACUUCAUAAUCUGAUUGUAAAAUACCCUCUUCGAAGUAUCGCUGAUAUGAUUUGGAGAGUGGCGAACCACAUCUAGCUUCAGGCCCAUCUUUGUGCGGGACUUUAAAAAAAAUGUAGUUAUUGUAGUCCAAUUUUGUAUCUUCUUCUCUACUGCAAGGUACAAGCCCUUGAUCAAGAAGCAUUUCGAUUUCAUCUUUAGAUGUCCUUUCGACAGAGAAAACCCAACCAUAGGUAUCAGACCAAGCUAAAGGAUGUUUCUUCCAUUUCAAACGUAAAAGUAUGGGAGCAAGACGAGAUUUUGCAGUAAUCACAGCUCUUUUUUCGGUUUUACAAUAAGCCUUUUUGUACCAUUUGGGAACCACUGGGACCUCUUGUGUUGCUUUUUUUAACUUCCUAUAAAGAUUACAUGGUGUCCAAUCAAGUUGACGGAGCCAUGGGUCUUUCAGGACGGUAUCCUUAGUAUUGAUUAAAUCCUUGGCCUUUUCAGCAUACUGUGACAGUUUUUGAUCAACUAAUUGAAUCAUUUGUUGAUACUGUUCUUCUACGCCGUUAAUAUAACGGGUCCAUGAAUGGUUAACUGGAAGAAAUACGCUACCCAGAGAUAGCAUAGCACUAAAAGUAGCUGGGUGAGGACAGACUUCCAAAAACUGAGGGAAUACUUUUUUGAAAACUUGAUGUGUAGAGUAUGUAUCAUGCGCACAAUAUGUGAUAAGUUCAUUCAACUUCUGUAGAAUUGGUUCCUUUUCCAAAGAUGCAAAAUCGUCUCUUUUCGAUUUAUCAAGUGUAAUGUUGCAAUGGAACUUUGCGACGUCUUUUAAAGAAUUAACUGAAGAAUGAGCUAACCAUGGUUCUUGUUUUAAGUAAUUUUGAUAAUCGUCAUCAAACGAGGAAGAGUCGUCGUCUUCCGAGGUUUCAGUAGAUUGUGAACGAAUAUACGCCUUUCUCGCUUUGAACCAAGUAGGUUUCUGUCGAGAGCACAUUCCAUGUGUAGCAACAUGCAAUGACAUUGUAUCAAGGAAUACAUUACGAGAAGAUUUGAUAUUGUACUCCUCACGAAUCCUCUGACGAUCAAAGCUAACGUUAUGUCCUACGAACAAAGCUCCCUUUGGGUUAGAUGGGAUUAAUUGACGAUCAUUUUCGGACUUUCCCAGUAGCCAAGGAGAUAGCCAGCAAUACCAUGCGUCUUCAGACACAGCGGUAGCCACGACAGCAAAAGGAGACACCUUGUAUAAAACUUCCACAUCAAAUACCAUACAAUCACUAUCCGGGUAUGGAACACAAGAAAUACUUCCAUCUUUCGCGUAUUUGGUCCAACCAGGUUGGCGCUUCCACGUUUUUGGCUGAACCGGAGUAUCGAUUUUGCUAAAUUUUAUUGCCUUUGAGAGAUGAGGCUCUGCAAAUUCUAAACCUAUAUUGUAAAAAUGUUCAGAAAUCGUUUUUCCUUGCAAAGGAGGAAGUCUAAAGUUAAAGGAUGGAAGCUUUAUCGUUUCUUUAUUCAGUAGUUGGUGCUUCGCCAAAUGGAAUUUUGCCAGAUCAAGGUGCAAUUGAGAAAUCUGUGUAUUUUGCUGUGGAAAUACUUGAUUUUGCAGAGCAGGUGAUAAGUAUUGAACACCGACCGGGUUAAUCCUCAGUGGGGCAUUAUCUAUAAAUGAUUUAGAAGAAUAAUGUCGACAAUAUAGAAAUUUCUUAGUUUUAAUGAUUGAAUGAAUCCAUUUCGAACACGUCAAUGUACUUGGACAAGCUUUGUAGAACAUGAAGUACUUGAGCAAUGGACGCCC